This 118-nucleotide small RNA is filed under the name Gordonia rhizosphera NBRC 16068. RNAcentral describes it as "Actinobacteria sRNA Ms_IGR-7". It matches the Rfam family "Actinobacteria sRNA Ms_IGR-7". The record is from Rfam by way of RNAcentral. Lineage: Bacteria; Bacillati; Actinomycetota; Actinomycetes; Mycobacteriales; Gordoniaceae.
CGGAAGUGCCCUUCUGUGGCUGUGUGAUUAAUGCGUGAAGAACAUCAAUCAUCCCAGCUCAGAGGGCACUUUCUCCGUCACGACACCCGAAAUCAGCGAAUCGGGUCGGUGGAUUCAG